RNAcentral lists this microRNA precursor (199 nucleotides) under Oryza brachyantha (malo sina). Its description in RNAcentral is "MIR812 microRNA precursor family". It matches the Rfam family "MIR812 microRNA precursor family". Lineage: Eukaryota; Viridiplantae; Streptophyta; Magnoliopsida; Poales; Poaceae. The record is from Rfam by way of RNAcentral.
AAUAAAUCAAUCUUUUACUUUUUACCUAUAAUAUUUGACUCUUCAUCUUGUUAGAAAAUUUUUUAUGAUUAUUUUUUUAUUAGAUGAUAAAUCAUAAAUCGUACUUUAUAUGUGACUAAUUCUUUUUUAAUUUCUUAAAAAUUUUUAAAUUGAACGGAUAGUCAAACGCUAGACACGAAAACCUAAAGUUUAUCUUAUU